RNAcentral lists this ribosomal RNA (383 nucleotides) under uncultured eukaryote. RNAcentral's name for it is "partial 18S ribosomal RNA". It matches the Rfam family "Eukaryotic small subunit ribosomal RNA", at positions 592 to 976 of the family's 1831-position model. The record is from RNAcentral.
CAAUAGCGUAUAUUAAAGUUGUUGCGGUUAAAAAGCUCGUAGUUGGAUCUCGGCAGGCAGGGGGUGGUUCGCUCUUAGCGCUACUGCCCCAUUUGCCUGUGUGAUUGGCGGAGGUUUCGGGGUGCUCUUCGUUGAGUGACCCGGGGCGCCGUCAGGUUUACUUUGAAAAAAUUAGAGUGCUCAAAGCAGGCUUUUCACGCUUGAAUAUUCGUGCAUGGAAUAAUGGAAUAGGAACUCGUUUCUAUUUUGUUGGUUUUCGGAAAUCGAGUUAAUGAUUAAUAGGGACAAUUGGGGGCAUUAGUAUUCAGACGACAGAGGUGAAAUUCUUGGACCGUCUGAAGACUAACUACUGCGAAAACAUUUGCCAAGAGUGUUUUCAUUAA